GAAAAAGUAUCGGGUGUUGCUGAACCGUGUUGAUACAUCAAC
Molecule: unclassified non-coding RNA, 42 nt
Filed under: Escherichia coli
Lineage: Bacteria; Pseudomonadati; Pseudomonadota; Gammaproteobacteria; Enterobacterales; Enterobacteriaceae
Description: IS009
Source: RNAcentral